RNAcentral lists this unclassified non-coding RNA (329 nucleotides) under soil metagenome. RNAcentral's name for it is "partial contains 5.8S ribosomal RNA, internal transcribed spacer 2, and large subunit ribosomal RNA". The stretch from base 1 to 120 matches the Rfam family "5.8S ribosomal RNA", at positions 35 to 154 of the family's 154-position model. The record is from RNAcentral.
GAUGAAGAACGUAGCGAAAUGCGAUAAGUAGUGUGAAUUGCAGAAUUCAGUGAAUCAUCGAAUCUUUGAACGCACAUUGCGCCCCUUGGUAUUCCGAGGGGCAUGCCUGUUCGAGCGUCAUUAUAACCCCUCAAGCUCAGCUUGGUGUUGGGGCCUGCUGCACUGGCAGCCCUUAAAAUCAGUGGCGGCGCCAUCUGGCUCUAAGCGUAGUAAUUCUUCUCGCUAUGGAGUCCUGGUGGAUGCUUGCCAUCAACCCCCAAUUUUUCUAUGGUUGACCUCGGAUCAGGUAGGGAUACCCGCUGAACUUAAGCAUAUCAAUAAGCGGAGGA